ACACGACUACAUUAGAUACCCGCGUAGUCCUAGCCGUAAACGAUACUCGCUAGGUGUCGGCCACGGUGCGACCGUUGUCGGUGCCGUAGGGAAGCCGUGAAGCGAGCCACCCGGGAAGUACGGCCGCAAGGCUGAAACUUAAAGGAAUUGGCGGGGGAGCACCACAACGGGUGGAGCUUGCGGUUUAAUUGGAUUCAACGCCGGAAAUCUUACCGGGACCGACAGCAACAUGAAGGCCAAGCUGAAGACUUUGCCGGAUUAGCUG
RNAcentral lists this ribosomal RNA (265 nucleotides) under uncultured archaeon. RNAcentral describes it as "partial 16S ribosomal RNA". It matches the Rfam family "Archaeal small subunit ribosomal RNA", at positions 717 to 982 of the family's 1478-position model. The record is from RNAcentral.